GUGGUGGCUCAGUGGUAGAGCGCUCGCCCAGCACCUGUGAGGCACUGAGUUUGAUCCUCAGCACCACA
This 68-nucleotide transfer RNA is filed under the name Marmota monax (woodchuck). RNAcentral's name for it is "tRNA.Ala". The record is from RNAcentral. Lineage: Eukaryota; Metazoa; Chordata; Mammalia; Rodentia; Sciuridae.